GCUCGAGGAGGGAAAACGAUUCAGAGCAAAAAAUUAACAUCCGGCCGACGUUCCCCGGUAGAGAGAGUCGCUCACCGAGAGAGCCAGAGCGGACGCCGUUUAAUGACCCGGAGGCGGUCUCGGAAAUCGACCCGUCGUGUUUGCCGAGCCUGCGCCGAGCCCCGGACCCGUGAGAGAAGGAUAUAACAAUAAGACAGAGGCGAUCCCCGCCCGCAAGCGCUUGGGGGAACACUGCGGAAUCAGCACGCGGGCGCCCUGGCGCGGGGACGCGAAAUCUACAGGGGAAGACGGGCAGUGAGAUAACUCGCCGACGGGGAGAGGGCAAGGUGGAUACGGAUACGGGCCCGGUGGGCUUUAAAGCGCCCGUCCUUCUACGACCCGGCUUUUCCGGCUCCGCCCUACCCCGAGCCCACCUACUCACGGCGCUUCGUUCCCGCCCCUCCCGCCGUCGACCUCUCGCUCGCCCCCGUCCCUCUUCUCACCUGGCAGACCGUCGCCCUCCCUCCUUCCGAAGUCUCAUCUCAUUCGCUCUUUUAACGGUGCUGAGCGCUCUCUACGCGACCGAGCGGGAAGCCCUUUCGAAAAUGCCAAAUCAGCGGAGCGUCAACGCACCUCAUCGACCACAACCAGGCCCAAGUCGCUCAUUCUUCCCGUUUCAAUCAGGGCGUUCACCAGGCUGUGACCUUUUUCUAUGGUGGCAACAAAGACGGAUCUUUUUCUCCUUCUUUUGACUGGCGGUAAUCUUCCUUUGCUGCCAGCGUAUUCUUCGACGAGGAAAUCCAGCUCGAUUCCGAAAUGUAACAAGCCCCUGAUCUGCAACAGAACGGUUUGCGAAAAGGCGACGUGGACGGGAGUCACUGGAAUCACCCACAGCAUUAAAUCUACCCGCUAGCCAUUCACGCUCCUCUUUGCCGAGGAUAUUCGGCGUUGGCCUAAAGGACGCCGAUCGGAUUAUUUCGGUCUACUCCGGCGCCUGGCGCGCCGGGCAUCUAUUGAGCGUUCGCUAAGAACGGACGGGACCUGACGCCGCUCUUCUAAAACGAAUUCUGAGGCUCUGCAAAAUAAACGGAAACUUUUCGCCUACAAAA
Molecule: long non-coding RNA, 1088 nt
Organism: Ornithorhynchus anatinus (platypus)
Lineage: Eukaryota; Metazoa; Chordata; Mammalia; Monotremata; Ornithorhynchidae
Exons: 2
Source: RefSeq, a predicted model, not a curated record